CUAAGCAUAUCAAUAAGCGGAGGAAAAGAAACCAACAGGGAUUGCCUUAGUAACGGCGAGUGAAGCGGCAACAGCUCAAAUUUGAAAUCUGGCCCUUGGGUCCGAAUUGUAAUUUGUAGAGGAUGAUUUUGGUGCGGUAUCUUCCGAGUUCCUUGGAACAGGACGCCUUAGAGGGUGAGAGCCCCGUACGGUUGAAUGCCUAGCCUCUGUAAAUCUCCUUCGACGAGUCGAGUAGUUUGGGAAUGCUGCUCUAAAUGGGAGGUAAAUUUCUUCUAAAGCUAAAUAUUGGCCAGAGACCGAUAGCGCACAAGUAGAGUGAUCGAAAGAUGAAAAGCACUUUGAAAAGAGGGUUAAAUAGCACGUGAAAUUGUUGAAAGGGAAGGAUUUGUGACCAGACUUUUUCUGGGCGGAUCAUCCGGGGUUCUCUCCGGUGCACUUCGCCCAGUAAAGGCCAGCAUCGGUUUUCGGCGUGGGAUAAAAGCAGUAGGAAUGUGGCUCUCUACGGGGAGUGUUAUAGCCUAUUGUAUAAUACCGCGCUGGGGACCGAGGUUCGCGCUUCUGCAAGGAUGCUGGCGUAAUGGUUAUCAAUCACCCGUCUUGAAACACGGACCAAGGAGUCGAACAUUUGUGCGAGUGUUUGGGUGUUAAACCCUCACGCGUAAUGAAAGUGAACGGAGGUGAGAGCCCUUACGGGUGCAUCAUCGACCGAUCCUGAAGUUUUCGGAUGGAUUUGAGUAAGAGCAUAACUGUUCGGACCCGAAAGAUGGUGAACUAUGCGUGGAUAGGGUGAAGCCAGAGGAAACUCUGGUGGAGGCUCGCAGCGGUUCUGACGUGCAAAUCGAUCGUCAAAUCUGCGCAUGGGGGCGAAAGACUAAUCGAACCAUCUAGUAGCUGGUUACC
RNAcentral lists this ribosomal RNA (900 nucleotides) under Neopestalotiopsis australis. RNAcentral's name for it is "LSU rRNA". It matches the Rfam family "Eukaryotic large subunit ribosomal RNA", at positions 34 to 959 of the family's 3401-position model. Lineage: Eukaryota; Fungi; Ascomycota; Sordariomycetes; Amphisphaeriales; Sporocadaceae. The record is from RNAcentral.